Caenorhabditis elegans is the source of this 21-nucleotide non-coding RNA. The record is from Ensembl. Lineage: Eukaryota; Metazoa; Nematoda; Chromadorea; Rhabditida; Rhabditidae.
UACUUCUUCGACUAAACCCAA